UCUCUCCUCCGUCGAUCUACGCCGAAUCGAACGGCCAGGGCUUUGAUGGAGAGUUUGGCGGGUCCGAUGAUCCGAUUUUGCCGCCUCCGUCGGAGAUGCUGCCUGAGGAGGGCUUUGCUCUCAGAGAAUGGAGGAGGAGGAAGAGUUCCGUGACAGAAAAGUAUUAUAUUGAAGAGAGGUUGUACAUGGAAAGAAAUAAUAAACUUUUCAACUAUCCGAGGCUAUUUGGAAUAGCUCCAUGCACAUUAUUUUUGGCUACAGAUGAUACUUCAAGACAAGUAAGUUCUCUAAGUUGUUUGUUUUAACUUUUAUGUAAAUGAUGAUGUGUAAAUGAAAUUUUAACUAAAAUUGACGCUUUUUUGUUCAAAUUUGUAUAGUUAUGCAAAAUGAUGUGCUACAAGGUUGAACUCAAUAAAGUUGGGCAAACCUAAACCCAACCCGAAUAAAUCUGAACCUACUUCAAACCCGAACCUGACUAAACUGUAUGAACCCAAACCCAACUCGAAUUGUAAAGGUUGGGUUAGGGUUGGUUUGACCAUGCAACACGCCCAACCCGCCCAGUUCCACACCUAUCUUUAUGCACUCUCUCUUAUCUUUCUCUCUGACCUUCGCCUGCGACCCUCUAUUUGGAUCUAUGUAUCAAUCUAAUUAAAUUAGUAUUAAUGUUCAAAUCCACAGGGAGUUGUUGUAGGGUUUUUUUUUUUCUUUUCUUUUUAAUUAUUAAAAUUUUAAAAUCAUUUUAAAUCUCAUAUUAAACAAGUUUUUAAAUCUUAAAUAAAAUUGUUUUUAAAAAAUAUUUUUAAAAAUUAUGAAAACAUUUAAGUACGAUACCAAACACGCCGUAAACACACUCUAAAUAAGAUUAACAAUGCAACAAAUGAGCAAUUUGAGUAAAUUUAUUGACAAUGCAAGAGGUGUGCUUAACGUUUAUUUUUGCAGGCUGUGUACGAAAAGGCUUGCGCGCGCGCGCACACACAUACAUAUACAUAUACAUAUACAUAUACUUAUACAUAUAUAUAUAUAUAUAUAUGAUUAACAAUGCAAGAGGUGUGCUUAACGUUUAUUUUUGCAGACUGUGUACGAAAAGGCUUGCAUACACACACACACACACACACACACACACACAUACAUAUACAUAUACGUAUAUAUUUUUGCAGGCUGUGUACGAAAAGGCUUGCAUACAUAUAUAUAUAUAGACACACACGCGCACACACACACACAUAUACAUAUAUAUAUGAUACCAAAUUUAAAUUGACAAAUUCUAACUUAAAAUUGCAUAAUUUAAUUAUAAGAACAUGAACCAACCUUAAAUUGACAAAUUCCAAAUUUCCAAGCAAACAUAAAGAUGAUCUUACAAAUUAAGAUCAUUCACAAAGCAUACAAAAUGAAAUUGCAGAAGGGAAUAUCCACUUCACUUGUUUCAGUCCUCCUCGUCAUCAUUCAAAAGAUCACCGUGCAAAAUUCAAGCAUUGUCAUGGGAUUUUAUUUUAAGGGAACUUUAACGAAAAACUCUCGGUACUGUUCACUUUAACGAAAAACCACAUUUUUACACUAAAAAAUCAAUCAUGGUACUAUUUACUUUACCCUUUAUUUUAUCAUUAUCAUUAAAACUCAAAGUUUUCAAACUCAUUUUUACACUAAUGAUAACAGGCUAUUAUUGCUCGCUACUUGGGCAUUGAUCACGGAUUCUCUCUAGGCAUCCUAGUUCCAGUCAGCACAUCCCUUAUUAGACUCAAUUCAGCUACCACAUUGCUCAUGUAUUUUCGCUCUCUCGGCAUCACUACAGAACAAGCAACUCCUACUCUUACAAUGGAAGUCAAGCACUCCACAACCCUUUUUCUUCAAUCAUUUGGCGCAUGAUUCCCCUUGUUACUUCUGGGAUUAGUACUGCUGCUACUUUCUUCUAUUUGUACAAGUACUGGAUCACAUAUUUCUCCCACACGUUCUGGUAGAGCCAUCAUAACAAAAUUGUGUAGGUCCAUACCACCGUUAAACAUGUUAUCUGUUGGCCUCUUGCCAGUUAACAUCUCCAACAACAGCAUUCCGUAGCUAUACACGUCGCCAUAUGUUGACACCUCGCCUCCCAUUCCAUACUCUUAAGUUAUAUGCACAAAAACAUAGCUUUGUUCUUAUGUGUGACUUCAAAAAACUCAUGCUAUAUACAAAACCAUGGUGCAAGCGCAAAUAAAAUAUAUAUAAAAGAAAAUUUACCUGGGGGAGUACAGCCUAUGGUGCCUUUUAUGACAUUGGAACUGCUUUCGUGCAAAGGAGAUGGGCAAGAAGCAUCCUGGAGUGAACUAUUGGCACGUGGAAGCAAUUGUGCAAAUAAUCCAGAGCGCACGCUACAUCGAUGGCAAUGUGAGAUUCAGAUUCUUUGGCAGAUUGGCUGGCCUAUCUACUCCUUGAGUUGAUAUGUGCAGCCACUCAUCUA
Molecule: RNA transcript, 2431 nt
Organism: Pyrus x bretschneideri (Chinese white pear)
Lineage: Eukaryota; Viridiplantae; Streptophyta; Magnoliopsida; Rosales; Rosaceae
Exons: 3
Source: RefSeq, a predicted model, not a curated record